Molecule: ribosomal RNA, 305 nt
Filed under: uncultured bacterium
Lineage: Bacteria
Description: bacterial SSU rRNA
Rfam family: Bacterial small subunit ribosomal RNA
Source: RNAcentral
UUUACCUACGGGGCGCAGCAGUGAGGAAUAUUGGUCAAUGGCCGAGAGGCUGAACCAGCCAAGUCGCGUGAGGGAUGACGGCCCUACGGGUUGUAAACCUCUUUUGUCGGGGAGCAAAGAGAGUCACGUGUGGCUCAUUGAGAGUACCCGAAGAAAAAGCAUCGGCUAACUCCGUGCCAGCAGCCGCGGUAAUACGGAGGAUGCGAGCGUUAUCCGGAUUUAUUGGGUUUAAAGGGUGCGUAGGCGGAUCGUUAAGUCAGUGGUCAAAUUGAGGGGCUCAACCCCUUCCCGCCAUUGAAACUGUC